This 497-nucleotide ribosomal RNA is filed under the name uncultured bacterium. Its description in RNAcentral is "bacterial SSU rRNA". It matches the Rfam family "Bacterial small subunit ribosomal RNA", at positions 21 to 507 of the family's 1533-position model. The record is from RNAcentral.
GGCUCAGGAUGAACGCUAGCUACAGGCUUAACACAUGCAAGUCGAGGGGCAGCAUGGUCUUAGCUUGCUAAGGCCGAUGGCGACCGGCGCACGGGUGAGUAACACGUAUCCAACCUGCCGUCUACUCUUGGACAGCCUUCUGAAAGGAAGAUUAAUACAAGAUGGCAUCAUGAGUCCGCAUGUUCACAUGAUUAAAGGUAUUCCGGUAGACGAUGGGGAUGCGUUCCAUUAGAUAGUAGGCGGGGUAACGGCCCACCUAGUCUUCGAUGGAUAGGGGUUCUGAGAGGAAGGUCCCCCACAUUGGAACUGAGACACGGUCCAAACUCCUACGGGAGGCAGCAGUGAGGAAUAUUGGUCAAUGGGCGAGAGCCUGAACCAGCCAAGUAGCGUGAAGGAUGACUGCCCUAUGGGUUGUAAACUUCUUUUAUAAAGGAAUAAAGUCGGGUAUGGAUACCCGUUUGCAUGUACUUUACGAAUAAGGAUCGGCUAACUCCGUG